Molecule: ribosomal RNA, 439 nt
Filed under: uncultured bacterium
Lineage: Bacteria
Description: bacterial SSU rRNA
Rfam family: Bacterial small subunit ribosomal RNA
Source: RNAcentral
AGCGAACGCUGGCGGCAGGCCUAACACAUGCAAGUCGAACGGAUCCUUCGGGAUUAGUGGCGGACGGGUGAGGAACACGUGGGAACGUGCCUUUUGGUUCGGAACAACUCAGGGAAACUUGAGCUAAUACCGGAUGUGCCCUUCGGGGGAAAGAUUUAUCGCCAUUAGAGCGGCCCGCGUCUGAUUAGCUAGUUGGUGGGGUAAAGGCUCACCAAGGCUACGAUCAGUAGCUGGUCUGAGAGGAUGAUCAGCCACACUGGGACUGAGACACGGCCCAGACUCCUACGGGAGGCAGCAGUAGGGAAUCUUGCGCAAUGGGCGAAAGCCUGACGCAGCCAUGCCGCGUGAAUGAUGAAGGUCUUAGGAUUGUAAAAUUCUUUCACCGGGGAAGAUAAUGACGGUACCCGGAGAAGAAGCCCCGGCUAACUUCGUGCCAGCA